Molecule: ribosomal RNA, 440 nt
Filed under: uncultured bacterium
Lineage: Bacteria
Description: partial 16S ribosomal RNA
Rfam family: Bacterial small subunit ribosomal RNA
Source: RNAcentral
CCUACGGGGGGCAGCAGUAGGGAAUCUUUCACAAUGGGCGAAAGCCUGAUGGAGCAACGCCGCGUGCAUGAUGAAGGCUUUCGGUAUGUAAACUGCUUUUAUAAGCGAGAAAUAUGAUGGUAACUUAUGAAUAAGGACCGGCUAACUACGUGCCAGCAGCCGCGGUCAUACGUAGGAUGCGAGCGUUAUCCGGAUUGACUGGGUGUAAAGGGAGCGUAGGAGGCAGCACAAGUCUGGAGUGGAAUGCCGGGGCUUCACCCCGGAACUGCUUUGGAAAAUGUGCAGCUAGAGUGCAGGAGAGGUAAGUGGAAGUCCGGGUGUAGCGGUGAAAUGCGUAGAGAUUAGGAGGAACACCAGUGGCGAAGGCGGCUUACUGGACUGUAACUGACGUUGAGGCUCGAAAGCGUGGGGAGCAAACAGGAUUAGAUACCCGAGUAGUC